GACGAACGCUGGCGGCGUGCUUAAUACAUGCAAGUCGAACGGAAAGGCCCUGCUUUUGUGGGUUGCUCGAGUGGCGAACGGGUGAGUAACACGUGAGUAACCUGCCCUUGACUUUGGGAUAACUUCAGGAAACUGGGGCUAAUACCGGAUAGGAGCUCCUGCUGCAUGGUGGUGGUUGGAAAGUUUCGGCGGUUGGGGAUGGACUCGCGGCUUAUCAGCUUGUUGGUGGGGUAGUGGCUUACCAAGGCUUUGACGGGUAGCCGGCCUGAGAGGGUGACCGGCGACAUUGGGACUGAGAGACGGCGCAGAAGCCAACGGGAGGCAGCAGGGGGGAACAUGGCACAAUGGGCGGAAGCCUGAUGCAGCAACGCCGCGUGCGGGAUGACGGCCUUCGGGUGGUAAACCGCUUUCGCCUGUGACGAAGAGGGAGUGACGGUAAUGGGUAAAGAAGCACCGGCUAACUACGUG
This 468-nucleotide ribosomal RNA is filed under the name uncultured bacterium. RNAcentral's name for it is "partial 16S ribosomal RNA". It matches the Rfam family "Bacterial small subunit ribosomal RNA", at positions 28 to 507 of the family's 1533-position model. The record is from RNAcentral.